Long non-coding RNA from Nicotiana tabacum (common tobacco), 1110 nucleotides. RefSeq lists it as uncharacterized. The record is from RefSeq and is a predicted model, not a curated record. Lineage: Eukaryota; Viridiplantae; Streptophyta; Magnoliopsida; Solanales; Solanaceae.
AAGAAAAAACCUAGACCUAGACAUUUAAGGAUUAGCCGUUUUCUAUUAGGAUAGGGACCCUAUCUUCUUCUUCAGGAGAUAUACAAGAAAAACUCUAGGAGAAGGAGAUAAAGAAAAGCUUCAGUAGCCAUAAACAAGGAAGCAGCCAUGACAAAAACCCUAGUCUCCAUAACAACCUUCAGCCGUCACUGACCAGUCGACCACCAGCCGCAUCCUCACCACCAAAACUCCAUCGCCGAACCUCCGUUCACCACGCAUCUGCCAUCUCCGGCGAAGCUUCACCUCACACACACCUGCCCGUCCUUCUCCAGUUCCAGCCUUGACCCUCACCCAUCUCCCUCUCGCCGGAAACCAUACACGCACACACAACACCCUACGCAGCCUUCAUCACCCAAACCUGAACCUGCAAAACCAAGUAACGAGAUCAGUAACCUUCAGCAUCCUACUUCUCCAAUCAACACCCUAAGUUCCAUUAGCGACCAAACCAUCUCCAACCGUGCCAGGCCUAGAUGCCAUCAGAUUUGCCGGAAAAAGUCGUUUCACUUGUAUAUACUUGCAAAUCGUGAUAGCACUGAGUGAUGGCCAAAGACCUACUGUUCUAAUAUCACUUGACUCUUCUUUUGCUAUUACUACUGUUUGCUGUUGUGGUUGUGAGGAUUGUUCUUUGAUUUUCAUUCCAAAAUGAAUGUCAUUUGAGUUUGUGUAUGGAUUCGAAAUUUCCGAUGUCGAUUCGAGGUCCGUUGUUGAAUUUUGUUCGCGGUUCCGUCGAGCUCUUGUCCAAGCCGUUUCAGGGUCUAAAGAUGUAAUCAGAUGCAAGGAAACUAUUUAAGGAGUUGAAUCCUUGAGGUUUGUCAUGUCUGCAAAAUCAUUGACAGUAAGGUUGUAAGAAAGGUUGAGGGAAUUAAAGAAGUCGAUAAAUUGAUCAUUGGAAUGACAAGUCCCAAAUCUUCAACACUUGCAUUUGUGAGCCAGCAUAAGAUGGAAAAAGGCGUAAAGUUCAAGUAAGCAUUUCUCAUUGGUAAAGUUGAGUUUUUCUCUGAAAUAUCUGUUCAAAUGUCAAAAUAUUUUUUGCACUAAAACAUUGUUCAAGUAAUGGUAGAUUCUUCAUCA